Molecule: ribosomal RNA, 672 nt
Filed under: uncultured bacterium
Lineage: Bacteria
Description: bacterial SSU rRNA
Rfam family: Bacterial small subunit ribosomal RNA
Source: RNAcentral
GGAUAAUCGGGAGAAAUCCCGUCUAAUACCGCGUAAUGCGCGGGGCUGUCAUGGCCCUGCGGCCAAAGGGAGCGAUCCGGCAACGGAUGGGCAUGCGUGACAUUAGCUAGUUGGCGGGGCAACGGCCCACCAAGGCGACGAUGUCUAGGGGUUCUGAGAGGAAGGUCCCCCACACUGGUACUGAGACACGGACCAGACUCCCACGGGAGGCAGCAGUGAGGAAUAUUGGUCAAUGGGCGCGAGCCUGAACCAGCCAAGUCGCGUGAGGGAUGACGGCCCUACGGGUUGUAAACCUCUUUUGUCGGGGAGCAAAUUCCGCCACGUGUGGCGGAGUCGAGAGUACCCGAAGAAAAAGCAUCGGCUAACUCCGUGCCAGCAGCCGCGGUAAUACGGAGGAUGCGAGCGUUAUCCGGAUUUAUUGGGUUUAAAGGGUGCGUAGGCGGACUGUCAAGUCAGCGGUAAAAUACGGGGGCUCAACCUCCGCCCGCCGUUGAAACUGACGGUCUUGAGUGGGCGAGAAGUAUGCGGAAUGCGUGGUGUAGCGGUGAAAUGCACAGAUAUCACGCAGAACUCCGAUUGCGAAGGCAGCAUACCGGCGCCCGACUGACGCUGAAGCACGAAAGCGUGGGUAUCGAACAGGAUUAGAUACCCUGGUAGUCCACGCAGUAAACG